Molecule: ribosomal RNA, 856 nt
Filed under: marine metagenome
Description: bacterial SSU rRNA
Rfam family: Bacterial small subunit ribosomal RNA
Source: RNAcentral
ACUUGAUUAGUUUGUUGGUGGGGUAAAAGCCUACCAAGACUGUGAUCAAUAGCUGAUUUGAGAGGAUGAUCAGCCACAUUGGGACUGAGACACGGCCCAAACUCCUACGGGAGGCAGCAGUGGGGAAUCUUGCACAAUGGAGGAAACUCUGAUGCAGCGAUGCCGCGUGAGUGAAGAAGGCCCUUGGGUUGUAAAGCUCUUUCGUCGGGGAAGAAAAUGACUGUACCCGAAUAAGAAGGUCCGGCUAACUUCGUGCCAGCAGCCGCGGUAAUACGAAGGGACCUAGCGUAGUUCGGAAUUACUGGGCUUAAAGAGUUCGUAGGUGGUUGAAAAAGUUGGUGGUGAAAUCCCAGAGCUUAACUCUGGAACUGCCAUCAAAACUUUUCAGCUAGAGUUUGAUAGAGGAAAGCAGAAUUUCUAGUGUAGAGGUGAAAUUCGUAGAUAUUAGAAAGAAUACCAAUUGCGAAGGCAGCUUUCUGGAUCAUUACUGACACUGAGGAACGAAAGCAUGGGUAGCGAAGAGGAUUAGAUACCCUCGUAGUCCAUGCCGUAAACGAUGUGUGUUAGACGUUGGAAAUUUAUUUUCAGUGUCGCAGCGAAAGCGAUAAACACACCGCCUGGGGAGUACGACCGCAAGGUUAAAACUCAAAUGAAUUGACGGGGACCCGCACAAGUAGUGGAGCAUGUGGUUUAAUUCGAAGAUACGCGCAGAACCUUACCAACACUUGACAUGUUCGUCGCGACUUUAAGAGAUUAAAGUUUUCGGUUCGGCCGGACGAAACACAGGUGCUGCAUGGCUGUCGUCAGCUCGUGUCGUGAGAUGUUGGGUUAAGUCCCGCAACGAGCGCAACCCUCA